CCGGCGCACGGGUGAGUAACACGUGAGCAACCUGCCUUCGAGAGGGGAAUAACGGCUGGAAACGGUCGCUAAUACCGCAUAACAUACAGGAGGGACAUCCCUUUUGUAUCAAAGAUUUAUCGCUCGAAGAUGGGCUCGCGUCCGAUUAGGUAGUUGGUGAGGUAACGGCCCACCAAGCCGACGAUCGGUAGCCGGACUGAGAGGGUGAUCGGCCACACUGGAACUGAGACACGGUCCAGACUCCUACGGAAGGCAGCAG
RNAcentral lists this ribosomal RNA (259 nucleotides) under uncultured bacterium. RNAcentral describes it as "partial 16S ribosomal RNA". It matches the Rfam family "Bacterial small subunit ribosomal RNA", at positions 95 to 354 of the family's 1533-position model. The record is from RNAcentral.